Molecule: long non-coding RNA, 716 nt
Organism: Hippoglossus stenolepis (Pacific halibut)
Lineage: Eukaryota; Metazoa; Chordata; Actinopteri; Pleuronectiformes; Pleuronectidae
Exons: 3
Source: RefSeq, a predicted model, not a curated record
UUCAAUGAUCUGCACCUGCUCCUGAUGUGUCUCACCUGGGUUCAAUGAUCCUGCUUCUUCGUUCAGUCCCAGUGCUCCUCACCCCUCCGUCACUUUGUCUGGGUUAUGUUUCACAGCGACAGAUUCACGUUCCUUCACUCCAACAACACACAGAGCUUGAAUUUAUCACACAUUUUUAACCAUCACAGUAUAAAUUGGUGAUGUAUGACGAUACGAGGUGAAUUUUCAUUGGACGACACGAAGCUGCUGAGGGCACAUUUCUGCAGAAAGUCACGUUCGCACCAGGUGGUUAGAGAGAGAGAGAGCUGUCAUAUAAGAAAUAAGAGGACGUGAGGAACCACAUCACUGAGUCCUGCGGUCGCACUGGUCUGGAGGAAAUGGAUGUUAACGUCUGGAUGAGGACGGGAGUAAAAUAAAAAUCUCUCCCUUUCAAAGCAUCACUUUCUCAAUCAUCCACCAGAGCGUAGUUCAACGUGGUCCGAGAGCAUCUGUUGGGUCGAGGGUUGAAAGACGAUGACCUCUGACCUGUGGACUGAAACAGGAAAUGGAGUUCCUCUGGCGAUCAGGCUCCAUUAGAAGUGACCUGUUGUACUGAACUGUAUCGUGACAGAAUGUUUAGACUUCUCACGAAGUUUCCAUUUCAUAAAUCUGCCGACCUGAUCAUGUUUUGUCUCGUGAAGCCUUCAGGCCGUUAUCAUGAACCUCAGAGGAGAACC